UACGGGGGGGGCAAGCGUUGUUCGGAAUUACUGGGCGUAAAGGGCUCGUAGGUGGCCAACUAAGUCAGACGUGAAAUCCCUCGGCUUAACCGGGGAACUGCAUCUGAUACUGGAUGGCUUGAGUUUGGGAGAGGGAUGCGGAAUUCCAGGUGUAGCGGUGAAAUGCGUAGAUAUCUGGAGGAACACCGGUGGCGAAGGCGGCAUCCUGGACCAACACUGACGCUGAGGCGCGAAAGCUAGGGGAGCAAACAGG
This 253-nucleotide ribosomal RNA is filed under the name uncultured bacterium. RNAcentral's name for it is "partial 16S ribosomal RNA". It matches the Rfam family "Bacterial small subunit ribosomal RNA", at positions 524 to 776 of the family's 1533-position model. The record is from RNAcentral.